Molecule: long non-coding RNA, 682 nt
Filed under: Mus spicilegus (steppe mouse)
Lineage: Eukaryota; Metazoa; Chordata; Mammalia; Rodentia; Muridae
Description: lncRNA (ENSMSIG00000007477.1)
Source: RNAcentral
CUUCAGGUUCCUCUUGUUGACAAUGAGGAUAACAGGUACACCGGCUGUUCAGGGUUGCGUGGUCAUGCAAUGAUGUCCCUGUAAAUCACAGGGCACAAAGCUGGAUGCAUGUUAAGGGCUCCAUCAGAUUGGCCACUUACGUUUGCUCUAAGACGUACCUUGUAAGUUUCCAUUGUGAUCGAAGUCACUAGGCUCCACCAGAAACGCAGGGCUGGUACACAGGCAUUCAUAUUUAAAAACCAUUUCCCCCAGGAGAUUCUACAUGCCUGAUCCGAUUCAACUCCCUCAUUUACAGAAAGACAAAGUCUGUACCUCCCUGAGCAGCUGUGGAUUAAGAGAUGUGAUGAUGGUGGGGCUAGAGAUAUGGCUCAACGGUGAAAAGACUUGUAUUCGGCUCCCAACAUCCUCUUCAAGGUCCCAAGCAGCUCUGUACAGGGAAGAUGCACAUCUGCCUUCUGUGAGACAGAUGAGAAUCCAUCAAGGAACAAGAGAGCGGGGAAGGCCCUAAAGAACAUGCAGUCCCACAUGUUCUUUUCACAGACAAGAAAACUAAGACUCCAAGAAGGAAGAAUAACAGCCUGGAUAACACAGCAAGUUGUUUUUAAUUGAUUAAUUGGUCUUACUUGUCAAUUUAGCACAAUAUAGAGUCACCUUAGAGGUGGGUCCUGGUGGGAGAUUGGCU